AAGACUAUAGACCUGCGGAGUACCUGCGGAGGGAUCAUUAACGUAUCUAUGAUGGGGUGCGGAGCGCCCUGCUCCGGUCGAACGGCCGUGCAGCGGGUACGCCGCCCCCGUCCCACCUCACAAACCCACUGUGAACAUUCACCGGUGGAGGGGGCUCGGUCUGCGCCGUGUCCCCGAUGCCGAAUACCCAAACUCCAGUUGCAAAGAACGUCGUGCGGACUCGGUGCCGCCUAAAACAUG
This 240-nucleotide unclassified non-coding RNA is filed under the name soil metagenome. RNAcentral's name for it is "partial contains 5.8S ribosomal RNA, internal transcribed spacer 2, and large subunit ribosomal RNA". The record is from RNAcentral.